AGAUUGAACGCUGGCGGCAUGCCUUACACAUGCAAGUCGAACGGUAGAGUAGCAAUACUUGAGAGUGGCGAACGGGUGAGUAAUAUAUCGGAACGUGCCCAGUCGUGGGGGAUAACGUAGAGAAAUUUACGCUAAUACCGCAUACGAUCUAAGGAUGAAAGCGGGGACCGUAAGGCCUCGCGCGAUUGGAGCGGCUGAUAUCAGAUUAGGUUGUUGGUGAGGUAAAAGC
RNAcentral lists this ribosomal RNA (229 nucleotides) under uncultured soil bacterium. RNAcentral's name for it is "partial 16S ribosomal RNA". It matches the Rfam family "Bacterial small subunit ribosomal RNA", at positions 26 to 264 of the family's 1533-position model. The record is from RNAcentral.